GGUGUAGUAUCCAAAUUGGUGAAGGAGGCAGACUGUAAAUCUGUUGCCACAGGCUAAACUUAUAGGUUCGAAUCCUAUCUGCACCA
RNAcentral lists this transfer RNA (86 nucleotides) under Saprospiraceae bacterium. RNAcentral's name for it is "tRNA-Tyr". It matches the Rfam family "tRNA". From Rfam's summary of the family: Transfer RNA (tRNA) molecules are approximately 80 nucleotides in length. Their secondary structure includes four short double-helical elements and three loops (D, anti-codon, and T loops). Further hydrogen bonds mediate the characteristic L-shaped molecular structure. tRNAs have two regions of fundamental functional importance: the anti-codon, which is responsible for specific mRNA codon recognition, and the 3' end, to which the tRNAs corresponding amino acid is attached (by aminoacyl-tRNA synthetases). tRNAs cope with the degeneracy of the genetic code in two manners: having more than one tRNA (with a specific anti-codon) for a particular amino acid; and 'wobble' base-pairing, i.e. permitting non-standard base-pairing at the 3rd anti-codon position. Lineage: Bacteria; Pseudomonadati; Bacteroidota; Saprospiria; Saprospirales; Saprospiraceae. The record is from RNAcentral.